GAUGAACGCUAGCUACAGGCUUAACACAUGCAAGUCGAGGGGAAACGACAUCGAAAGCUUGCUUUUGGUGGGCGUCGACCGGCGCACGGGUGAGUAACGCGUAUCCAACCUGCCCACCACUUGGGGAUAACCUUGCGAAAGUAAGACUAAUACCCAAUGAUAUCCCACGAAGGCAUCCGAAUGGGAUUAAAGAUUUAUCGGUGAUGGAUGGGGAUGCGUCUGAUUAGCUUGUUGGCGGGGUAACGGCCCACCAAGGCUACGAUCAGUAGGGGUUCUGAGAGGAAGGUCCCCCCACAUUGGAACUGAGACACGGUCCAAACUCCUACGGGAGGCAGCAGUGAGGAAUAUUGGUCAAUGGGCGAGAGCCUGAACCAGCCAAGUAGCGUGCAGGAUGACGGCCCUAUGGGUUGUAAACUGCUUUUAUAAGGGAAUAAAGUGGGUCACGUGUGACUUUUUGCAUGUACCUUAUGAAUAAGGACCGGCUAAUUCCGUG
Molecule: ribosomal RNA, 493 nt
Filed under: uncultured bacterium
Lineage: Bacteria
Description: bacterial SSU rRNA
Rfam family: Bacterial small subunit ribosomal RNA
Source: RNAcentral